AAGGGAUCAUGAGGUCCUCCCAGGCAGCAAUGGAGGAGGAGAGACCCCCCAGUACCGGAGGCGGCGGCAGCGGGAGCCCGGGCUCAGCCAGGCAGCGCCAGUGAAUAGAGGAACGGAGAGAAGCUUGCCCCAGCGACCCUCCCUUUGGGCCCAGGCCGGGGCUCCACGCCGUACCUUAUAGUCAGCAUGGCAACUUCAUCAGAAGAAGUUUUACUGAUUGUAAAGAAGGUACGUCAAAAGAAGCAGGAUGAAGCCCUGUACCUCAUGGCAGAAAGGAUCGCUUGGGCACCUGAAGGCAAAGACAGAUUUACAAUCAGCCAUAUGUAUGCGGACAUUAAAUGCCAGAAAAUCAGUCCAGAAGGAAAAGCUAAAAUCCAGCUUCAGCUGGUGCUACAUGCAGGAGACACUACUAAUUUCCAUUUUUCCAAUGAAAGCACAGCUAUAAAGGAGCGAGAUGCUGUGAAAGAUCUUCUUCAGCAGUUGCUACCCAAAUUCAAGAGGAAAGCCAAUAAAGAACUGGAAGAGAAAAACAGAAUGCUGCAAGAGGAUCCUGUUUUGUUUCAGCUUUAUAAAGACCUGGUGGUGAGUCAGGUGAUCAGUGCUGAGGAAUUUUGGGCCAAUCGUUUAAGCAUGAAUACUGUGGAUAGCCCUGCAGCAUCCAAUCACAAGCAAGAUGUGGGCAUUUCUGCAGCAUUUCUGGCUGAUGUCCGCCCUCAGACAGAUGGCUGUAAUGGCCUAAGGUAUAAUUUAACCUCUGAUAUCAUUGAGUCCAUAUUUAGGACCUACCCAGCAGUAAAAAUGAAAUAUGCAGAAAAUGUUCCACAUAACAUGACAGAAAAAGAGUUCUGGACAAGAUUUUUUCAAUCCCAUUAUUUUCAUAGGGAUCGACUUAACACAGGGUCAAAAGAUCUCUUUGCAGAAUGUGCCAAAAUGGAUGAAAAGGGUUUAAAAACAAUGGUAUCUCUAGGAGUGAAAAACCCCCUACUAGAUUUGACAGCACUGGAGGAUAAAUCAUUAGAUGAGGGCUAUGGAGUUUCCCCUGUGCCAUCUACUUCCAACUCUUCGAAAUCCAUAAAGGAGAACAGCAAUGCCGCAAUCAUCAAGAGAUUUAACCAUCAUAGUGCCAUGGUCCUGGCAGCAGGUCUCAGGAAACAAGAAGCACAACAUGAUCACAAUGAGAACAACAGCACAGAUGGGAAUUCUCGGGAUUCAGACUUCUUUCAGCCACCAGUCAAAAGGGUGAAGUUACAGGAAUCCAUUGAAUAUGAAGACUUGGGGAAAAAUAACAACAUAAAAACUAUUGCACUAAGCCUAAAGAAGUCAGAUAGGUAUUAUCACGGUCCAACACCAAUUCAGUCCCUCCAGUAUGCAACAAGUCAGGAUAUUAUCAAUUCUUUUCAGAGUAUUAAGCAAGAGAUGGAAACUUACACACCCAAACUAACUCAGGUUCUUUCAAGUGGUGCUGCAAGUAGUACCAUCACGGCCCUAUCCCCUGGAGGAGCACUUAUGCAGGGAGGACCACAGCAAGCCAUAAACCAGAUGGUGCCAAGUGACAUUCAGUCAGAACUCAAACACUUGUAUGUGGCUGUGGGAGAGCUGCUGAGGCAUUUCUGGUCCUGUUUUCCAGUUAACACACCAUUCCUAGAAGAAAAGGUAGUAAGGAUGAAGAAUAAUUUGGAACGAUUCCAAGCUACUAAGCUCUGCCCAUUCCAAGAAAAAAUUCGGAGACAGUAUUUAAGCACAAAUUUGAUAAGUCACAUAGAAGAGAUGUUGCAGACAGCCUACAAUAAACUCCACACAUGGCAGUCCAGGCGCUUGCUAAAGAAGACGUGAAGGAGCCCAGGGCAUUGGAGGCUUUGGUCCCUGGGAUGCUUUCUGCAGCAGUUGUGGGAACACACCCUGAGCAGCUCGCACUUCACCCAGAAGAUGCUGCAGGGACAUCUGCAGCCACUGGACUUGGGAGCUGACGCUAUUGAACUUGCACAUUCUGGAGUGAAAGGAGCUGUGGUUAAACUUGAAAACUGGGAGGUUGAAAAAGGAGUAUUUUAAAUAAAGCAGAGAGAAGCUGUCGCUCUAACCAUCAGGAGACAGUUGUGGUCAGAGGCAUCUUCUGCUCUGUGUUUCCUACGGAAAUGAGAAGCAAUAGAAUUGCACUGAGCGCUUAUUUGUGGUUUGGGGUCCUGGAAUGACACAAGGGGAACAGUUUUGCAGAAAGUCUUGAAUUUUUUAUGCAAAAUCUUUUCAAGAGACAAUGGAGCUGCAUGUUUUUGUUUGAGUGCACAUAUGCACUGCUGAGAUUUUUUUAAGAUGGCAUGUGCUUUGGGAAACAAACUGCUUUUUUAAGAGUUUAAAGAUCUUACAAGUGAAGAGAACUAUAAGAAUCAUUUACUUAUUUUCACCUCGAGAAAUAAAGUUUCUCAAGUCUGUUUUUUUCCAGUCUCUACCUGACUGUUAAAACUAUUUUUGGCGAAUCGAUAAUCAUUGCAUAGAGUGGAAAGCGUGUGAAUGCAAAAAGAAGUUAGAUAUGAUAUUGUAUCUGGAAUCUGUGCCAUAUUUUGUUCCUAAUAGGAUCAACUCACUGUUUAUCAAAGACUUAGCUGUCUUGUAUUAAAAAUUAUACAAAAAAAGUAAACCCGUUUUAUACAUACCAAAAAAAAAAAAAAAAG
This is an RNA transcript of Monodelphis domestica (gray short-tailed opossum), 2666 nucleotides long. It is a transcript of the gene named general transcription factor IIH subunit 1 pseudogene, with no coding region annotated. The record is from RefSeq and is a predicted model, not a curated record. NCBI's taxonomy places the organism in Eukaryota, Metazoa, Chordata, Mammalia, Didelphimorphia, Didelphidae.